RNAcentral lists this transfer RNA (87 nucleotides) under Candidatus Cloacimonadota bacterium. RNAcentral describes it as "Candidatus Cloacimonetes bacterium tRNA-Leu". It matches the Rfam family "tRNA". Rfam says of the family: Transfer RNA (tRNA) molecules are approximately 80 nucleotides in length. Their secondary structure includes four short double-helical elements and three loops (D, anti-codon, and T loops). Further hydrogen bonds mediate the characteristic L-shaped molecular structure. tRNAs have two regions of fundamental functional importance: the anti-codon, which is responsible for specific mRNA codon recognition, and the 3' end, to which the tRNAs corresponding amino acid is attached (by aminoacyl-tRNA synthetases). tRNAs cope with the degeneracy of the genetic code in two manners: having more than one tRNA (with a specific anti-codon) for a particular amino acid; and 'wobble' base-pairing, i.e. permitting non-standard base-pairing at the 3rd anti-codon position. Lineage: Bacteria; Pseudomonadati; Candidatus Cloacimonadota. The record is from RNAcentral. RNAcentral also lists the same sequence under 3 other names.
GCCGGAGUGGUGGAAUUGGUAGACACAAGGGACUUAAAAUCCCUCGAUCUUUGGGUCGUGCCGGUUCAAGUCCGGCCUCUGGUACCA